UUACAACUCCCAAACCCAAUGUGAACCAUACCAAACUGUUGCCUCGGCGGGGUCACGCCCCGGGUGCGUCGCAGCCCCGGAACCAGGCGCCCGCCGGAGGGACCAACCAAACUCUUUCUGUAGUCCCCUCGCGGACGUUAUUUCUUACAGCUCUGAGCAAAAAUUCAAAAUGAAUCAAAACUUUCAACAACGGAUCUCUUGGUUCUGGCAUCGAUGAAGAACGCAGCGAAAUGCGAUAAGUAAUGUGAAUUGCAGAAUUCAGUGAAUCAUCGAAUCUUUGAACGCACAUUGCGCCCGCCAGUAUUCUGGCGGGCAUGCCUGUCCGAGCGUCAUUUCAACCCUCGAACCCCUCCGGGGGGUCGGCGUUGGGGAUCGGGAACCCCUAAGACGGGAUCCCGGCCCCGAAAUACAGUGGCGGUCUCGCCGCAGCCUCUCCUGCGCAGUAGUUUGCACAACUCGCACCGGGAGCGCGGCGCGUCCACGUCCGUAAAACACCCAACUUCUGAAAUGUUGACCUCGGAUCAGGUAGGAAUACCCGCUGAACUUAA
This 548-nucleotide ribosomal RNA is filed under the name Trichoderma koningiopsis. RNAcentral's name for it is "eukaryotic LSU rRNA". The stretch from base 179 to 332 matches the Rfam family "5.8S ribosomal RNA". The record is from RNAcentral. Lineage: Eukaryota; Fungi; Ascomycota; Sordariomycetes; Hypocreales; Hypocreaceae.